CAUUAUUGCACAUCUUAUUUCCUGCAGAGCGUUUAGCCCUCAUUCGGCAACAAAGAGCAGAAGCUGCCAAGAAGCGAGAAGAAGAGAAAGCUGCCAAAGAACUGAAGAGGGCAGAUGCUCGCAAAUGAACCUUAGAGAGAGUGCACAGUGGAGUGUUCUCUUGCAAAACAACAAAAAGAAUAAGUGAAGAUUAAAGACAUCACUUUUCUAUUUUAGCAAUUGAUGUAAACAGUAUAUUUUCUCUUCCCAGUAUUACUACUGAAAGCAUGUGGUACUGUCCUCGAUUGGCCUUCCUAUGAGUAAAGGCGUUUUUGGUGACUAUCUAGAAAAUCUACGAUGUUCGACUUGUUCGCA
Long non-coding RNA from Syzygium oleosum, 354 nucleotides. RefSeq lists it as uncharacterized. The transcript has 2 exons. Lineage: Eukaryota; Viridiplantae; Streptophyta; Magnoliopsida; Myrtales; Myrtaceae. The record is from RefSeq and is a predicted model, not a curated record.